GUGACUUUUGAGCGAUAUCCGUCUUUUUUUUUUUUAAAUGACGGUGUGACAACUGAUUGCGCCUGGAGUACCGGUGAAAAUUACAACAUUUCUUAGUGAAAUCCUUAAGGAAAUGGUUCCGAGAAAAAAUUAUACUCCCAACCAGUUAGAAAAAACCUUAGAAGCUGUAAAAAACGGCGAAAAGAUUGCAGUCGCAUACCAUUUUUGGCGCGAACUUGUGGAGGCAUAUGCCCAG
This 235-nucleotide unclassified non-coding RNA is filed under the name Melitaea cinxia (Glanville fritillary). RNAcentral describes it as "misc RNA ENSMCXG00005011825.1". The record is from RNAcentral. Lineage: Eukaryota; Metazoa; Arthropoda; Insecta; Lepidoptera; Nymphalidae.